UUACUCUCGGUCUCUUUGUUUGCUCAUCGACAUUACGAGGUCAUGUACACUGUGGUCAACUUUGUGGACGAUGAAGAGGUUUCUGGGUAAAGAUGAUAGAAAUAUAACGAAGUAACAGUGGAAGCUAAAACAUCAGACUGAUCCAGACACUGAAGAAAUUGAUGUCACUGCAAUCUGGCCAAAAUGAUGUAAGUUUAAUAAUGAAAU
Long non-coding RNA from Paramisgurnus dabryanus, 207 nucleotides. RefSeq lists it as uncharacterized. The record is from RefSeq and is a predicted model, not a curated record. NCBI's taxonomy places the organism in Eukaryota, Metazoa, Chordata, Actinopteri, Cypriniformes, Cobitidae.